This 460-nucleotide ribosomal RNA is filed under the name uncultured bacterium. RNAcentral's name for it is "partial 16S ribosomal RNA". It matches the Rfam family "Bacterial small subunit ribosomal RNA", at positions 338 to 795 of the family's 1533-position model. The record is from RNAcentral.
CCUACGGGAGGCAGCAGUGAGGAAUAUUGGUCAAUGGACGAGAGUCUGAACCAGCCAAGCCGCGUGAAGGAUGACUGCGCUAUGCGUUGUACACUUCUUUUAUCAAGGAAUAAAACGAGGCACGUGUCCCUUUUUGCGUGUACUUUAUGAAUAAGCAUCGGCUAACUCCGUGCCAGCAGCCGCGGUAAUACGGAGGAUCCGAGCGUUAUCCGGAUUUAUUGGGUUUAAAGGGGGCGUAGAUGGGUUGUUAAGUCAGUUGUGAAAUUUUGCGGCUCAACCGUACAAUGGCAAUUGAUACUGGCAGUCUUGAGUACAGGUAGGGUAGGCGGAAUGCGUGGUGUAGCGGUGAAAUGCAUAGAUAUCACGAAGAACCCCGAUUGCGAAGGCAGCUUACUAAACUGUGACUGACAUUGAUGCUCGAAAGUGUGGGUAUCAAACAGGAUUAGAUACCCCAGUAGUC